Molecule: ribosomal RNA, 761 nt
Filed under: Escherichia albertii
Lineage: Bacteria; Pseudomonadati; Pseudomonadota; Gammaproteobacteria; Enterobacterales; Enterobacteriaceae
Description: partial 23S ribosomal RNA
Rfam family: Bacterial large subunit ribosomal RNA
Source: RNAcentral
AUCCUGUCUGAAUAUGGGGGGACCAUCCUCCAAGGCUAAAUACUCCUGACUGACCGAUAGUGAACCAGUACCGUGAGGGAAAGGCGAAAAGAACCCCGGCGAGGGGAGUGAAAAAGAACCUGAAACCGUGUACGUACAAGCAGUGGGAGCCCUGAUUUAUCAGGGUGACUGCGUACCUUUUGUAUAAUGGGUCAGCGACUUAUAUUCUGUAGCAAGGUUAACCGAAUAGGGGAGCCGGAGGGAAACCGAGUCUUAACUGGGCGUUAAGUUGCAGGGUAUAGACCCGAAACCCGGUGAUCUAGCCAUGGGCAGGUUGAAGGUUGGGUAACACUAACUGGAGGACCGAACCGACUAAUGUUGAAAAAUUAGCGGAUGACUUGUGGCUGGGGGUGAAAGGCCAAUCAAACCGGGAGAUAGCUGGUUCUCCCCGAAAGCUAUUUAGGUAGCGCCUCGUGAAUUCAUCUCCGGGGGUAGAGCACUGUUUCGGCAAGGGGGUCAUCCCGACUUACCAACCCGAUGCAAACUGCGAAUACCGGAGAAUGUUAUCACGGGAGACACACGGCGGGUGCUAACGUCCGUCGUGAAGAGGGAAACAACCCAGACCGCCAGCUAAGGUCCCAAAGUCAUGGUUAAGUGGGAAACGAUGUGGGAAGGCCCAGACAGCCAGGAUGUUGGCUUAGAAGCAGCCAUCAUUUAAAGAAAGCGUAAUAGCUCACUGGUCGAGUCGGCCUGCGCGGAAGAUGUAACGGGGCUAAACCAUG